This 222-nucleotide ribosomal RNA is filed under the name uncultured bacterium. Its description in RNAcentral is "partial 16S ribosomal RNA". It matches the Rfam family "Bacterial small subunit ribosomal RNA", at positions 109 to 334 of the family's 1533-position model. The record is from RNAcentral.
AGUAAUGUCUGGGAAACUGCCUGAUGGAGGGGGGUAACUACUGGAAACGGUAGCUAAUACCGCAUAAUGUCGCAAGACCAAAGUGGGGGACCUUCGGGCCUCAUGCCAUCGGAUGUGCCCAGAUGGGAUUAGCUAGUAGGUGGGGUAACGGCUCACCUAGGCGACGAUCCCUGGCUGGUCUGAGAGGAUGACCAGCCACACUGGAACUGAGACACGGUCCAG